UGCGCCGAAGAUGUAACGGGGCUCAAGCCACGAGCCGAAGCUUAGGGCGCAGCAAUGCGCGGUAGCGGAGCGUUCCAUAAGCCUGUGAAGGGCGACCCGUGAGGGCGCCUGGAGGUAUUGGAAGUGAGAAUGCUGGCAUAAGUAACGACAAACAGUGUGAGAGACACUGUCGCCGUAAGUCCAAGGGUUCCUGCGUAAAGUUAAUCUGCGCAGGGUUAGCCGGUCCCUAAGGCGAGGCCGAGAGGCGUAGUCGAUGGGAACCACGUUAAUAUUCGUGGGCCAGAGGGUAGUGACGGAUGCUUAGUGUUGUACGGGGUUAUUGGAUUCCCUGUGCAGCUGCGGUGUCCCAGGAAAUAGCUCCCUCAUUAGACCGUACCCGAAACCGACACAGGUGGACUGGUAGAGUAUACCAAGGCGCUUGAGAGAACUAUGCUGAAGGAACUCGGCAAAUUACCUCCGUAACUUCGGGAUAAGGAGGCCCAUGUGCUGCGCAAGCAGUAUGUGGGGGCACAGACCAGGGGGUGGCGACUGUUUACCUAAAACACAGGGCUCUGCGAAGUCUAAAGACGACGUAUAGGGUCUGACGCCUGCCCGGUGCCGGAAGGUUAAGAGGAGGGGUGCAAGCUCUGAAUCGAAGCCCCGGUAAACGGCGGCCGUAACUAUAACGGUCCUAAGGUAGCGAAAUUCCUUGUCGGGUAAGUUCCGACCUGCACGAAUGGCGUAACGACUUCCCCGCUGUCUCCAGCAUAGACUCAGUGAAAUUGAACUCCCCGUGAAGAUGCGGGGUUCCCGCGGUCAGACGGAAAGACCCCAUGAACCUUUACUGUAGCUUUGCACUGGCAUUCGUGUUGGCAUGUGUAGGAUAGGUGGCAGGCUUUGAAGCGAGGGCGCCAGCUCUCGUGGAGCCAUCCUUGAAAUACCACCCUUGUAGAUAUGGAUGUCUAACCGCGAUCCUUCAUCGGGAUCCGGGACAGUGCAUGGUGGGCAGUUUGACUGGGGCGGUCGCCUCCCAAAGAGUAACG
RNAcentral lists this ribosomal RNA (1022 nucleotides) under Melampsora pinitorqua Mpini7. RNAcentral describes it as "bacterial LSU rRNA". It matches the Rfam family "Bacterial large subunit ribosomal RNA", at positions 1160 to 2302 of the family's 2925-position model. The record is from RNAcentral. Lineage: Eukaryota; Fungi; Basidiomycota; Pucciniomycetes; Pucciniales; Melampsoraceae.